This 447-nucleotide ribosomal RNA is filed under the name uncultured bacterium. Its description in RNAcentral is "SSU rRNA". It matches the Rfam family "Bacterial small subunit ribosomal RNA", at positions 26 to 518 of the family's 1533-position model. The record is from RNAcentral.
AGAGCGAACGCUGGCGGCAGGCCUAAUACAUGCAAGUCGAACGGAUCCUUCGGGAUUAGUGGCGGACGGGUGAGUAACACGUGGGAACGUACCCUUUGGUUCGGAACAACUCAGGGAAACUUGAGCUAAUACCGAAUGUGCCCUUCGGGGAAAAGAUUUAUCGCCAUUGGAGCGGCCCGCGUCUGAUUAGCUAGUUGGUAGGGUAAAGGCCUACCAAGGCUACGAUCAGUAGCUGGUCUGAGAGGAUGAUCAGCCACACUGGGACUGAGACACGGCCCAGACUCCUACGGGAGGCAGCAGUAGGGAAUCUUGCGCAAUGGGCGAAAGCCUGACGCAGCCAUGCCGCGUGAAUGAUGAAGGUCUUAGGAUUGUAAAAUUCUUUCAGCGGGGACGAUAAUGACGGUACCCGCAGAAGAAGCCCCGGCUAACUUCGUGCCAGCAGCCGGC